UUAAUUUUUUCCGUAAGUGUUGAGCAGCUGCAGGAAUAAAUUUUUAUUCCGAGUUAAUCUCUGAUUCACCCUCCGAAGCGGAAGGCGGCGCUAAUGAGCAUUAAUACGAAACACAGAAGAAGUAAAGGUAUAUGGGCGGGAACAGCACCAAAGAGGCAACAGGGACGACUGGAGAAAGUUGGACCUAACGGCAGCAACUAGCAUCACUGGACUUACAUUGUAUGCAGAGUUUCAGCGGAUUACAAAUCAGAACCUGCCCAAUACAUUCUACGCUGAACUUGACCGCCAUCUUCCUCGACUGAUGACCUUAUUCAGCCAGGGCAUCAAAAACUGGGAAGACAGCAGAUGCCCUGGUUGAAAUUCUAAGAAUUCACAAUGAACAGGAAAUCCAUGAUAUCCACACCAAGUGCACUACCGUUCUCCCUGCCCUUCCUGUCUAUCUGCAUGAGGAUGUCUCUGGAUUUUUCAGAACCUGCACUGACGAAUCUGAUGAGUUGGAGCUUGAUGGUGUUGAAGUGGCCCUCUUCACUGUCAUCAGUGACCAUGACACAACAAGUCCAGUUCACUACCAACCUGUGAAAAUCUCUGUCGUCAUUGUAAGUGAUGCCGUGUUCAGUCUCCCCAGAUUUGGUGAAGCCUUCCUGGUAAUGUUUGGACUGAUCUAUGCACUUCACCUCAGCUACCCCAAAGGCCUGACCAACACUUUAGAAUUUACUCAAAAGAUUUUAUUUGGUCUAGAAAGUGGUAAACUGUCACCCAGGUUACAGACCCUCAAGAAUGACUUGGUUAUGUAGGAACUCAUCUGAAAGAAGGAUGCAGGGUGAAGCAUUAUAAAAGGCUAGUUCAAAGUUCUCUCCUUUCAUCUAAAUAAUGCCUCAAAACAUUAUUAGAUUACUCUACAGGUGUUCAGCCAAUAGGUCCAAACUAUACAACGUGCCUUUGUUCUCAUUAACAUAAUGCAAAGCAACACUAAUGUUUUGUAUGUUUUAAUGUUUUUCGUAAUACUAUUUCCAAAACAUUGUGGGCUGCGCAAGAUGACCUAAAUUUCACUGUUUGAUACUGGUUAAUGUAAAACAAAUAGCAUUGUAAUUCACUCAAAUUGCUGCCUUGUUGUCUUAUUCAGAUAUUAGCCAGAG
Maylandia zebra (zebra mbuna) is the source of this 1136-nucleotide long non-coding RNA. RefSeq lists it as uncharacterized. The record is from RefSeq and is a predicted model, not a curated record. Lineage: Eukaryota; Metazoa; Chordata; Actinopteri; Cichliformes; Cichlidae.